RNAcentral lists this transfer RNA (86 nucleotides) under Bacillota bacterium. RNAcentral describes it as "tRNA-Leu". It matches the Rfam family "tRNA". From Rfam's summary of the family: Transfer RNA (tRNA) molecules are approximately 80 nucleotides in length. Their secondary structure includes four short double-helical elements and three loops (D, anti-codon, and T loops). Further hydrogen bonds mediate the characteristic L-shaped molecular structure. tRNAs have two regions of fundamental functional importance: the anti-codon, which is responsible for specific mRNA codon recognition, and the 3' end, to which the tRNAs corresponding amino acid is attached (by aminoacyl-tRNA synthetases). tRNAs cope with the degeneracy of the genetic code in two manners: having more than one tRNA (with a specific anti-codon) for a particular amino acid; and 'wobble' base-pairing, i.e. permitting non-standard base-pairing at the 3rd anti-codon position. The record is from RNAcentral. Lineage: Bacteria; Bacillati; Bacillota.
GCCUGCGUGGUGGAAUGGUAGACGCGUUGGACUCAAAAUCCAAUGGUAGCGAUACCGUGUCGGUUCAAGUCCGACCGCAGGCACCA